CUAACAAUAACUAAAUGUUGCCUCUAUCUUGAAUUAAUUAUAGUAUACACAGUUCCAUUGUUCAUGAGAAUGCAACUGUGCACGCUUUUUAGGGUUUCACCCAAUUAGGUACCCAAGACUUAAAUGCUUUACCUCUGAAUUAUUUUGUUUAUAGGAAGCAGUCUCUACAUCUUGACCUGUUAGAAUUUUCAACAUUUAUUAGAAUAUAGGAAAUGCUGAUUUACCAAGCAUAAACCUUAUUGGUCUACAUUUUAUCCUGUCUGGAAGACUGCUAUUUUUAAAGGACUCUAAGAGCAUGAUCCUCAAAUUAGAAGUAUCAGAAGUAAAUUUGAAACCCCUAUAAAAGGUCAAGCAAAACAAAAAUAAAGGAUGCUGUAAUUAAACUAUAUAUAUCAAAUCACCAAAAGACAUAUAAAAGUGAGGUGUAUUUAUAGGUAUUUUGGUGAUUAUGUAUGCUUAAAUUACAGCAUCUUUCAUUUUUGUUUUAUUUCCCACUUUAUGAGGUCUUCAAAUGUACUUCUGGUAAGGAGAUUGAACAUUUGCUAACUAAUAUGAGUUUUAGUGGAGGAACAGAGGUAGAGUUUUUCUGUUUGGUCCAAUAAGUAAAAAAUAUCCAAAUGUGAUAACAUUUGCAUAGGUUUAUGGUAUAUGGAUUCAAGUAGACAUCAGAACAAUUGAGGUCAUUCCCAAACUAGGUCACUAGGGACUGUUACAUUUUUCCUAUAAAAAUAUGAUGCGGUAUAUAUGGGAUACUAAACUGCCAGUGUUUCUAGGUAUGAUAUUCAUUAUUUUUUGUAUAGCUUUAUUUUAUAGAAAAGGGCGUGUAUGGAACUCUAAGAUAUGCAUUUGUCUCUGACGAUAUAUUUGUAUAACCAAUAAUUAGUCCUUGUUGCUAACUCCCCAUAAAUACAAAUAUAAUUCUUUGUGCUAAUGUCUAUACAAUUCUAAGAAAAGCGUUAGACGAUCGUGAUGGGAUGACUUGAAACACAACAGAAACACUGAUGACUUAAAGGGACACUAUAGUCACCAGAACAACUACAGCUUAUUAAAUUUGUUCUGGUGAGUAGAAUCAUUACCUUCAGGCUUUUUGCUGUAAACACUGUCUUUUCAGAGAAAAUGCAGUGUUUACAUUACAGCCUAGUGAUAACUUCACUGGCCACACCUCAGGUGGCUGUUAGAGAUCCUUCCUGGGUCAUGGUUGCCUAAAAUGCAUCCAAACAUUCAGUGUUUCCUCCCUCUGCAUGCAGACACUGAACUUUCCUCAUAGAGAUUCUUUGAUUCAAUGCCUCUCUAUGAUGAGAUGCUGAUUGGCCAGGGCUGUGUUUGAAUCAUGCUGGCUCUGCCCCUGAUCCGCCUCCUCGUCAGUCUCAGUCAAUCCUAUGGGGAAGCAUUGUGAUUGGAUCAGGCCACCACUUCUAAUGAUGUCAGCAGACUGCUUGUUUUUCUGAGUCUAACAGCAUGCAGAUUUACAGCUUCAGACUUGAAUACAGUAAGAUUGUUACUAUAUUUAUGGAGGCAUGAGGGAAUCAGGGGGGCUAGAUGGUGGUUUUAACACUAUAGGGUCAGGAAUACAUGUUUGAUACUUUAGGAUUCUCACUGGACCAGAAGUCAUCAACUAAAAAGUAGUUGAAGUACCUAUGUAUUUGAUGUAUCUAAAUAAUAUAUCACUGUAGAAAAUACAUCUAGUCCUAAAACUCAAAAUUUUACAGAAACUUCUCAUUCUGAAUACAAAAUGAGCUGCACAAAGUAUUAUAUAUUGCUCUGUUUAAUCUGCUGUCAUUUUUCAUUGAUUUUACUUCUGAAUUUAUCAAAUGUACUCAUCUUGAAAUUUGUCGGCUAUUCAUGACUAAAACAAGGCAUUAUGACUCAAUUCUUUUACAAUACCUUCUGUCUUAACAGUUUUUGGCAAAGAACAUCGCACGACUGUAACACUAACAUAAUCACUGAUGUUCAUAAUCACCGUUUCUAUGCUUAUUUCUGUAUCAAUAUAUUUAUUAGAGUACUGCAGAUGAAGGCGAGACAAGCACAAUAUACGUGGUUCAUUGUGAUUCUGUCAGUUGUAUUAGACUGGUAUUUUGCAAAGUGUACAUUUCUGAAACACAGAAAUAAAG
Pelobates cultripes (western spadefoot toad) is the source of this 2111-nucleotide non-coding RNA. The record is from the annotation of a GenBank genome assembly. Lineage: Eukaryota; Metazoa; Chordata; Amphibia; Anura; Pelobatidae.